This 245-nucleotide ribosomal RNA is filed under the name uncultured bacterium. RNAcentral's name for it is "partial 16S ribosomal RNA". It matches the Rfam family "Bacterial small subunit ribosomal RNA", at positions 125 to 353 of the family's 1533-position model. The record is from RNAcentral.
CCUGCCCUUCAGAGGGGGACAACAGUUGGAAACGACUGCUAAUACCGCAUACGAUCUAAUCUCGGCAUCGAGGAAAGAUGAAAGGUGGCCUCUAUUUAUAAGCUAUCACUGGAGGAGGGGAUUGCGUCUGAUUAGCUAGUUGGAGGGGUAACGGCCCACCAAGGCGAUGAUCAGUAGCCGGUCUGAGAGGAUGAACGGCCACAUUGGGGCUGAGACACGGCCAGACUCCUACGGGAGGCAGCAUG